GACGAACGCUGGCGGCGUGCUUAACACAUGCAAGUCGAACGAAAAGGCACUGCUUUUGUGGGGUGCUCGAGUGGCGAACGGGUGAGUAACACGUGAGUAACCUGCCCUUGACUUUGGGGUAACUUCAGGAAACUGGGGCUAAUACCGGAUAGGAGCUGCUGCUGCAGGGUGGGGGUUGGAAAGUUUCGGCGGUUGGGGAUGGACUCGCGGCUUAUGAGCUUGUUGGUGGGGUAGUGGCUUACCAAGGCUGUGACGGGUAGCCGGCCUGGGAGGGUAAACGGGGUCAUUGGGCCUGAGAUACGGACCAGACGGCUACGGGAGGCAGCAGUGGGAAAUAUUGCACAGUGGGCGGAAGCCUGAUGCAGCAACGUCGCGUUCGGGAUGACGGCCUUCGGGUAGUAAACCGCUGUCGCCUGUGACGAAGCGUGAGUGACGGUACUGGGUAAAGAAGCACCGGCUAACUACGUG
Molecule: ribosomal RNA, 468 nt
Filed under: uncultured bacterium
Lineage: Bacteria
Description: partial 16S ribosomal RNA
Rfam family: Bacterial small subunit ribosomal RNA
Source: RNAcentral